Molecule: ribosomal RNA, 273 nt
Filed under: uncultured bacterium
Lineage: Bacteria
Description: partial 16S ribosomal RNA
Rfam family: Bacterial small subunit ribosomal RNA
Source: RNAcentral
GACAGAGGGUGCAAACGUUGUUCGGAAUUACUGGGCGUAAAGCGCGUGUAGGCUGCUUGGAAAGUCGGAUGUGAAAGCCCUGGGCUCAACCUAGGAAGUGCAUUCGAAACUUCGGAGCUCGAGUUCUGGAGAGGAAGGCGGAAUUCUCGGUGUAGAGGUGAAAUUCGUAGAUAUCGAGAGGAACACCGGUGGCGAAGGCGGCCUUCUGGACAGAGACUGACGCUGAGACGCGAAAGCGUGGGGAGCAAACAGGAUUAGAAACCCUCGUAGUCC